Cyprinus carpio (common carp) is the source of this 1657-nucleotide long non-coding RNA. The record is from Ensembl. Lineage: Eukaryota; Metazoa; Chordata; Actinopteri; Cypriniformes; Cyprinidae.
UGCAUAAAGUAUUUAUGUAUAUAUAAAUACACACACAUGCAUGUAUAUAUUUAAGAAAAAAUAAGUAAUGUUUAUACAUUUAAAAUAUUUCUAUAUAAUAUCAAUUAUAUUAAUAUAAAUAUAUACGUGGAAAUUUUUUUUUCAAAAUAUAUACUGUAUGUGUGUGUAUUUAUAUAGACACAUAAUAAAUAUACACAGUUCACACACACAUACACACACAUAUUAUGUAAACAAAAACUUGACAGCACUAAUAUAUUUACUCUAAUUAACCAAAGUAGUGUGUGUUUAAUUGAGUUUGUUAUUGUUGUUCAAACAGACACCAGGACGCAGCACAAUGAUCAGGUGAAUGGUGUUAAUGAUUUGUCACCUGAUCAGAGUGAUGUUCCACUGAUGGAUGUUGCUCAUGAGAGGUCCUCUAAUCACACUGAUGCUCUAGUGAUGAACACCACCAAUGACUCGUCCUCUAAUCACACUGAUGCUCUAGUGAAGAACACCAACAAUGACUCGUUCUCUCAUCACACUGAUGCUCCAGUGAAGAACACCACCAACGACUCGUCCUCUAAUCACACUGAUGCUCCAGUGGAGAACACCACCAACGACUCGUCCUCUAAUCACACUGAUGCUCCAGUGGAGAACACCACCAACGACUCGUCCUCUAAUCACACUGAUGCUCCAGUGGAGAACACCACCAACGACUCGUCCUCUAAUCACACUGAUGCUCCAGUGACGAACACCACCAACGACUCGUCCUCUAAUCACACUGAUGCUCCAGUGACGAACACCACCAACGACUCGUCCUCUAAUCACACUGAUGCUCCAGUGAAGGACACCACCCAUGACACGUCCUCUAAUCACACUGAUGCUCUAGUGAAGAACACCACCAAUGACUCGUCCUCUAAUCACCCUGAUGCUCCAGUGAAGAACACCACCAACGACUCGUCCUCUAAUCACACUGAUGCUCCAGUGACGAACACCACCAACGACUCGUCCUCUAAUCACACUGAUGCUCCAGUGACGAACACCACCAACGACUCGUCCUCUAAUCACACUGAUGCUCCAGUGACGAACACCACCAACGACUCGUCCUCUAAUCACACUGAUGCUCCAGUGAAGAACACCACCAAUGACUCGUCCUCUAAUCCCGUUGAGAUGGAGCCUGCGGCUGACACAAGCUGCCAUUAAGAUCAACCGUCUUUACACAAUAACACCAACCAGCGUUAACCAGCUCGAGAAAUCAUUUACUUCAUAGUACAUUCUGUAUGCAUGAAUGAUGAGGGUUGUGUUUGAAUUAUGAAAUAGCAUGUGAAACACCUAAUGCCUUAGUCCUCAGGAAAAGUGAUACACAUGAUAAAACAAUAACAAAUAGUCAUGUUUUAUAGUCUUCAUGCAUUUGUUUUCUAUCUUUGAUGAAAUGUGAAAAAAAUCAGAUUGAAACUUUGUGAACAAAACAUUUGUGAUAUUAUGAAGUUGUGCUAAUUAAUUAUGUAAUGAAUGUUUUUUUUUAUGUGUAUAAUCCUCUGACGGAGCCUUUGCUUCUGAUUUGAUUAGAUUUUUUUUUGUAUUGUAUUUGUACUUUUGCACUUUAAGUUUUUGUAUAUUUUUAUACGUUUUAUACAAUUGUUUGUGUUUUUCUGUAAUAAAUGACAUUAAAACAUCA